This 270-nucleotide ribosomal RNA is filed under the name uncultured prokaryote. RNAcentral describes it as "partial 16S ribosomal RNA". It matches the Rfam family "Bacterial small subunit ribosomal RNA", at positions 524 to 794 of the family's 1533-position model. The record is from RNAcentral.
UACGUAGGGGGCGAGCGUUGUCCGGAAUUAUUGGGCGUAAAGGGUGCGUAGGCGGUCUUUCAAGCCAGAAGCGAAAGGCUACGGCUCAACCGUAGUAAGCUUUUGGAACUGUAAGACUUGAGUGCAGGAGAGGAGAGUGGAAUUCCUAGUGUAGCGGUGAAAUGCAUAGAUAUUACACAGAACACCGAUUGCGGAGGCAGCUUACUAAUCCAUCAUUGACGCUGAGGCACGAAAGCGUGGGGAUCAAACAGGAUUAGAUACCCCGGUAGU